This is a long non-coding RNA of Rhinichthys klamathensis goyatoka, 1168 nucleotides long. RefSeq lists it as uncharacterized. NCBI's taxonomy places the organism in Eukaryota, Metazoa, Chordata, Actinopteri, Cypriniformes, Leuciscidae. The transcript has 3 exons. The record is from RefSeq and is a predicted model, not a curated record.
UCUACCCGCUAGGCGCAGAAGUGGACACACUUCCUGUGCUCGGCUCGCUCGGGUUGUUGAUGAUAAACAGCGAGCACAUGCUGAACGCAAUCUUUCACAUUUUGCCACAGAACCGAAUGACAACUACUUUGAUUUAAAUGUUAAUUCAGUAGCUUGACGUUCUGCAAUUUGCCUUGUCUCUGUAAUUACACGCUGAACAAUAAAAUACUUCACUUUUUGCUCAGGGCACUGAUGGAUUUUAUAAAAGAGUUUACCACAGUCAUGACAUUAAUGAUUUUGUCUGUCUCAUCACUACAUGCUGCUUAUCAGCUAUUCAAGGAUCACAGAGCUUCAUCAUUGGGCUUCCUCCUGAUUGGCUGCUCAUCUGUCCUUUCAUUCUUUUCUCCCAGUAACCAAAUUAUCAUGUCACUCCAGAACGAUCUAGAAUGGGCAGGUGAAUCACUCGGACCUGUGCUUUCUACUUUUGACUUCCUGUGGCUUAGUGACGACCACAUGACAGCCCGUAUCCUACUGAUUGGCUCCACUUUUUUCAUAAUGCUCUCUGAUUGGCUAACGCCAGAUGGGUUGAUCAUUAUGUCACGCUGCUUGGCCUUUUCCACCCUUUCCUGUUCGCUGACAGUGUGCGCGUUUGCUGAAAAUGCAGCAGGGGCGGUAGGGAGUGUUGCCCUCAAUCUCCCUUUAUUAGUUUCCCCAAGGAGCAGAUCUAGAUCUUUGGGUUCCCUCGUGAUGCCUACAGAAGGACUCCUCAGCUGGAUCUUUAAGGUCAUCAUGGCAUUAGGUUGCUGGACCACCAGGAAGGCCCUUAUUAAAUACCUGCUUGAUUUGAAAGGCUGGGACUGACUUAGGGAACAAGUAAUGUUUAAGUUUACUCUCAGGUUACUAGCAGGUAUAUGUACAGUGUUUUACUGUUGCACGUAAAAGCCUUCUGUCUUAAAAGCUAACAUUAUAGUGUAUUAUAUUACAGAAACUUGAGUUUGUUUACAUCUAUUCGUAUAAUAGAGUUUGUUUAUAACCUAUUAAAUCCAUUACAGUGAGAUUGAAGGCUUCUAAAAUCCCUGAGCGAUGAAUAAAUUGUUUAGCAUCAUCAACAAUGUAGUCCUUUAUAAAGAAAGAAUGGGACUCUGUUUAAGUCAGUGUUGCCAUGUCCACUUAUUAUGAGAAACUUUGG